RNAcentral lists this ribosomal RNA (468 nucleotides) under uncultured bacterium. Its description in RNAcentral is "partial 16S ribosomal RNA". It matches the Rfam family "Bacterial small subunit ribosomal RNA", at positions 28 to 507 of the family's 1533-position model. The record is from RNAcentral.
GACGAACGCUGGCGGCGUGCUUAACACAUGCGAGUCGAACGGAAAGGCCCUGCUUUUGUGGGGUGCUCGAGUGGCGAACGGGUGAGUAACACGUGAGUAACCUGCCCUUGACUUUGGGAUAACUUCAGGAAACUGGGGCUAAUACCGGAUAGGAGCUCCUGCUGCAUGGUGGGGGUUGGAAAGUUUCGGCGGUUGGGAAUGGACUCGCGGCUUAUCAGCUUGUUGGUGGGGUAGUGGCUUACCAAGGCUUUGACGGGUAGCCGGCCUGAGAGGGUGACCGGCCACAUUGGGACUGAGAUACGGCCCAGACUCCUACGGGAGGCAGCAGUGGGGAAUAUUGCACAAUGGGCGGAAGCCUGAUGCAGCAACGCCGCGUGCGGGAUGACGGCCUUCGGGUUGUAAACCGCUUUCGCCUGUGACGAAGCGUGAGUGACGGUAAUGGGUAAAGAAGCACCGGCUAACUACGUG